GGGGGAAUAUUGGACAAUGGGCGAAAGCCUGAUCCAGCCAUGCCGCGUGCGUGAAGAAGGUCUUCGGAUUGUAAAGCACUUUAAGUUGGGAGGAAGGGCAUUAACCUAAUACGUUAGUGCUUUGACGUUACCGACAGAAUAAGCACCGGCUAACUCUGUGCCAGCAGCCGCGGUAAUACAGAGGGUGCAAGCGUUAAUCGGAAUUACUGGGCGUAAAGCGCGCGUAGGUGGUUUGUUAAGUUGAAUGUGAAAUCCCCGGGCUCUACCUGGGAACUGCAUCCAAAACUGGCAAGCUAGAGUAUGGUAGAGGGUAGUGGAAUUUCCUGUGUAGCGGUGAAAUGCGUAGAUAUAGGAAGGAACACCAGUGGCGAAGGCGACUAUCUGGACUGAUACUGACACUGAGGUGCGAAAGCGUGGGGAGCAAACA
RNAcentral lists this ribosomal RNA (427 nucleotides) under uncultured Pseudomonas sp. RNAcentral describes it as "bacterial SSU rRNA". It matches the Rfam family "Bacterial small subunit ribosomal RNA", at positions 355 to 774 of the family's 1533-position model. Lineage: Bacteria; Pseudomonadati; Pseudomonadota; Gammaproteobacteria; Pseudomonadales; Pseudomonadaceae. The record is from RNAcentral.